Molecule: small nuclear RNA, 107 nt
Organism: Lemur catta (Ring-tailed lemur)
Lineage: Eukaryota; Metazoa; Chordata; Mammalia; Primates; Lemuridae
Source: RefSeq, a predicted model, not a curated record
GUGCUUGCUUUGGCAGCACAUACACUAAAAUUAGAAUGAUACAGAGAGGAUUAGCAUGGCCCCUGCGAAAUUAAAAAAAAUUAACAAAGAAAAAAAAGAAAACUAUU